Molecule: non-coding RNA, 177 nt
Filed under: Streptomyces mobaraensis
Lineage: Bacteria; Bacillati; Actinomycetota; Actinomycetes; Kitasatosporales; Streptomycetaceae
Description: Streptomyces sRNA scr5239
Rfam family: Streptomyces sRNA scr5239
About the family: It inhibits agarase DagA expression by direct base pairing to the dagA coding region, and it represses translation of methionine synthase metE (SCO0985) at the 5' end of its open reading frame.
Source: Rfam by way of RNAcentral
GCCCCGCCCUCCCCGCACAGGAGGGCGGCACGAGGCCCGGCGCUCUCUGCCCUGACCGCGCCACGGCCUCCGGUCGGCCGCUCCGGACGCGGGGCUCGCACACCCCGCGGUGUCCGGUCCGGCCGAUAUCAGCUCCGGGCUGCGGUGCCGGCGGGGUCGAGGGUCCCCGUCAGGCGC